This 179-nucleotide ribosomal RNA is filed under the name Ruellia bourgaei. RNAcentral describes it as "5.8S ribosomal RNA". The stretch from base 3 to 158 matches the Rfam family "5.8S ribosomal RNA". Rfam says of the family: 5.8S ribosomal RNA (5.8S rRNA) is a component of the large subunit of the eukaryotic ribosome. It is transcribed by RNA polymerase I as part of the 45S precursor that also contains 18S and 28S rRNA. The record is from RNAcentral. Lineage: Eukaryota; Viridiplantae; Streptophyta; Magnoliopsida; Lamiales; Acanthaceae.
ACGACUCUCGGCAACGGAUAUCUCGGCUCUCGCAUCGAUGAAGAACGUAGCGAAAUGCGAUACUUGGUGUGAAUUGCAGAAUCCCGUGAACCAUCGAGUCUUUGAACGCAAGUUGCGCCCGAAGCCUUCGGGCCGAGGGCACGCCUGCCUGGGCGUCACGCAUCGCGUCGCCCCCCCCA